RNAcentral lists this ribosomal RNA (490 nucleotides) under Veillonella parvula. RNAcentral describes it as "bacterial SSU rRNA". It matches the Rfam family "Bacterial small subunit ribosomal RNA", at positions 28 to 487 of the family's 1533-position model. Lineage: Bacteria; Bacillati; Bacillota; Negativicutes; Veillonellales; Veillonellaceae. The record is from RNAcentral.
GACGAACGCUGGCGGCGUGCUUAACACAUGCAAGUCGAACGAAGAGCGAUGGAAGCUUGCUUCUAUCAAUCUUAGUGGCGAACGGGUGAGUAACGCGUAAUCAACCUGCCCUUCAGAGGGGGACAACAGUUGGAAACGACUGCUAAUACCGCAUACGAUCUAAUCUCGGCAUCGAGGAUAGAUGAAAGGUGGCCUCUACAUGUAAGCUAUCACUGAAGGAGGGGAUUGCGUCUGAUUAGCUAGUUGGAGGGGUAACGGCCCACCAAGGCGAUGAUCAGUAGCCGGUCUGAGAGGAUGAACGGCCACAUUGGGACUGAGACACGGCCCAGACUCCUACGGGAGGCAGCAGUGGGGAAUCUUCCGCAAUGGACGAAAGUCUGACGGAGCAACGCCGCGUGAGCGAUGACGGCCUUCGGGUUGUAAAGCUCUGUUAAUCGGGACGAAUGGUUCUUGUGCAAAUAGUGCGAGGAUUUGACGGUACCGGAAUAGA